This is an RNA transcript of Chinchilla lanigera (long-tailed chinchilla), 469 nucleotides long. RefSeq lists it as uncharacterized. NCBI's taxonomy places the organism in Eukaryota, Metazoa, Chordata, Mammalia, Rodentia, Chinchillidae. The record is from RefSeq and is a predicted model, not a curated record. The transcript is spliced from 3 exons.
GCCACCUAAAUUUCCUUGGAGAUACCUGAAGUAUCAAAACCAUGUUGCUACACCACUUUUUUUCCCUAAAGAAUACUUUGUGCUAUCGCUAGUUUGAAAGGAAAUAAGUUGUUUUGGUCUUACUAGGAGCACUUUGAUCAAAAUCAGCACUCUGUUUAUUCUUCUUUUAUGAAAACCAAGGAAUCUGAGUUUCAAAUUGUUUUGCUUUUAUUUUUGUUUACAGACAAACACACUCUUGGCUUUCCAACUUGGAGAAAUAAUUCAAGUCCAACUAUCUGCUCUGUGCUAACAAGAAUUCACUUGUGAAUCUAUCAGGACCUGGGAUUUUCUUUGAUGAGCGUCCCAUGGCCAAGAGAGUGGCGGUGAUUGGAGCCGGGGUGAGCGGCCUGUCCUCCAUCAAAUGCUGCUUGGAUGAGGACCUGGAGCCCACCUGCUUUGAGAGAAGCGACGACUUCGGGGGAAUGUGGAA